Molecule: long non-coding RNA, 517 nt
Organism: Alosa alosa (allis shad)
Lineage: Eukaryota; Metazoa; Chordata; Actinopteri; Clupeiformes; Clupeidae
Exons: 3
Source: RefSeq, a predicted model, not a curated record
CCAAAUAGUCCAAGCUGUCCUCAAUCUACCUCAAGAGAUUCAACCCAAUGAUUUUUUUUAAAAAUAUGAAUAUUAAGUGCAAUAUUAAGUUUGAUAUUCAAAAGAGCCUGACACAUUUGUCCCUCAGUGUAGGGGAAGCGAGGUUGUCGAAUUUCCAUGACACAGCAACUUGAGUGUCGGGGCCUGUGUUGUAGGAAGUGCAGGGUAAAAAUAACGCAGAAGCCUUGGAGAAGUCUGGCUACUAAGCGUCCUUCCACUAAUCCCCUACUGCCAUUGUCUCCUCAGAGCCUCCACAACAGCAGAUCCUUAACACCAGCCGGCCGGCCACUCAACACACUCACUCACACCCGGCAGCCAGACCAACUGCAUGGAAAAAGACAGUGGAAUGGCCAUACCCACCAUGUUUAAUUGCAGUGCCAGGAUCCUGGUGGGAAGGGGAGGCUCCAUUCUGUGCUCCCCCAGGGAGGAGGCUUGCGUGCGGGCCACGGAGAAGCACCAAGUGCCCCUGGUCCUGCCG